AUUUGAUGAUGGGGACAGCUUGUACAUAACUUCUUAAAGCGUUCCCAGUAUUCAUGUAGGAACUCCCCAUUGUAUUGCCUUAUUCUAUAGAUUUCUUUUCUGAUAUU
Molecule: small nucleolar RNA, 107 nt
Filed under: Nelumbo nucifera (sacred lotus)
Lineage: Eukaryota; Viridiplantae; Streptophyta; Magnoliopsida; Proteales; Nelumbonaceae
Description: Plant small nucleolar RNA R71
Rfam family: Plant small nucleolar RNA R71
About the family: R71 is a member of the C/D box family of snoRNAs containing the C (UGAUGA) and D (CUGA) box motifs. Multiple nearly identical copies of this snoRNA have been identified in Arabidopsis, and it is thought to function as a 2'-O-ribose methylation guide for 18S ribosomal RNA.
Source: Rfam by way of RNAcentral